CAGGAAAGAACUGCUGAGUGCAGAUACC
RNAcentral lists this non-coding RNA (28 nucleotides) under Cricetulus griseus (Chinese hamster). The record is from RNAcentral. Lineage: Eukaryota; Metazoa; Chordata; Mammalia; Rodentia; Cricetidae.